UGGAAUAUGGUGGAAGGGGGCACCGCACACGGCUAAGGAACGAUCCGUAGAUCAACUUGUGUGUCUAUGGGGUGCCCCCUGCCCCCGUAUAUAAAGGAGCAAGGGGGGAGGCCGGCCGGCCCUUAGAGGGCGAGCGAAGGAGGAGGAAUCCUCCUCCUAGUAGGAGUAGGACUCCCCCUUUCCUACUCCUACUAGGAGGGGAAAGGAGGGGGAGAGGGGAAGGAAAGAGGGGGGCGCCGCUGAAGGAAAUAUGCCCUAGAGGCAAUAAUAAAGUUAUUAUUUAUUUCCUUAUAUCAUGAUAAAUGUUUAUUAUUCAUGCUAGAAUUGUAUUAACCAGAAACAUAAUACAUGUGUGAAUAUAUAGACAAACAGAGUGUCACUAGUAUGCCUCUACUUGACUUGCUUGUUAAUCAAAGAUGGUUAUGUUUCCUAACCAUGGACAAAGAGUUGUUAUUUGAUUAACGGGAUCACAUCAUUAGUUGAAUGAUCUGAUUGACAUGACCCAUUCCGUUAGCUUAGCACCCGAUCGUUUAGUAUGUUGCUAUUGCUUUCUUCAUGACUUAUACAUGUUCCUAUGACUAUGAGAUUAUGCAACUCCCGUUUACCGGAGGAACACUUUGUGUGCUACCAAACGUUACAAUGUAACUGGGUGAUUAUAAAGGUGCUCUACAGGUGUCUCCAAAGGUACUUGUUGGGUUGGCAUAUUUCGAGAUUAGGAUUUGUCACUCCGAAUGUCGGAGAGGUAUCUCUGGGCCCUCUCGGUAAUGCACAUCACUUAAGCCUUGCAAGCAUUGCAACUAAUGAGUUAGUUGUGAGAUGAUGUAUUACGGAACGAGUAAAGAGACUUGCCGGUAACGAGAUUGAACUAGGUAUUGGAUACCAACGAUCGAAUCUCGGGUAAGUAACAUACCGAUGACAAAGGGAACAACGUAUGUUGUUAUGCGGUCUGACCGAUAAAGAUCUUCGUAGAAUAUGUAGGAACCAAUAUGGGCAUCCAGGUCCCGCUAUUGGUUAUUGACCGGAGACGUGUCUCGGUCAUGUCUACAUUGUUCUCGAACCGUAGGGUCCGCACGCUUAAGGUUUCGAUGACAGUUAUAUUAUGAGUUUAUGAGUUUUGAUGUACCGAAGGAGUUCGGAGUCCCGGAUGAGAUCGGGGACAUGACGAGGAGUCUCGAAAUGGUCGAGACGUAAAGAUCGAUAUAUUGGACGACUAUAUUCGGAGUUCGGAAAGGUUCCGAGUGAUUCGGGUAUUUUUCGGAGUACUGGAGAGUUACGGGAAUUCACCGGGGAGAAGUAUUGGGCCUUAUUGGGACCUGCGGGAAAGAGAGAGGGGCUGCCUAGGGCAGGCCGCACGCCCCCCCAUGGCCUAGUCCGAAUUGGACUAGGGGGAGGGGCCACACCCCCUCCUUCCUUCCCUUCUCUCUUCCCCUUCCUUGUCUCCUACUCCUAAUACAUGGAAGGACUCCUAGUUGGACUAGGAAAGGGGGAAUACUACUCCCGGUGGGAGUAGGACUCCCCUAGGGCGCGCCAUACAAGAGGGCCGGCCCUCCCCUCCUCCACUCCUUUAUAUACGGGGGUAGGGGGCACCCCAUGGACACACAAGUUGAUCAUUGAGAUCGUUCCUUAGCCGUGUGCGGUGCCCCCCUCCACGAUAUUACACCUCGGUCAUAUUGUAGCGGUGCUUAGGCGAAGCCCUGCGACAGGAGAACAUCAAGAUCAUCACCACGCCGUCAUGCUGACGGAACUCCUCCCCGCGCCUCUGCUGGAUCGGAGAUCGGGCUGCGUCAUCGAGCUGUACGUGUGUCAAGAACUCGGAGGUGCCGGAGUAACGGUGCUUGGAUCGGUUGGACCGGGAGGACGUACGACUACUUCCUCUACGUUGCGUCAACGCUUCCGCUUCGGUCUACGAGGGUACGUAGACAACACUCUCCCCUCUCGUUGCUAUGCAUCACCAUGAUCUUGCGUGUGCGUAGGAAAUUUUUUGAAAUUACUACGUUCCCCAACAGUGGCAUCCGAGCCUAGGUUUUUAUGGUUUGAUGUUAUUUGCACGAGUAGAACACAAGUGAGUUGUGGGCGAUAUAAGUCAUACUGCUUACAAGCAUGUCAUACUUUGGUUCGGCGAUAUUGUUGGAUGAAGCGGCCCGGACCGAUAUUACGCGUACGCUUACGCGAGACUGGUUUUACCGCCGUGCUUUGCACACAGGUGACUAGCGGGUGUCAGUUUCUCCAACUUUAGUUGAACCGAGUGUGGCUACGCCCGGUCCUUGCGAAGGUUAAAACAGCAUCAACUUGACAAACUAUCGUUGUGGUUUUGAUGCGUAGGUGAGAUUGAUUCUUGCUUAAAGCCCGUAGCAGCCACGUAAAACUUGCACAACAAAGUAGAGGACGUCUAACUUGUUUUUGCAGGGCAUGUUGUGAUGUGAUAUGGUCAAGACGUGAUAAGAUAUAAGUUGUUGUAUGAGAUGAUCAUGUUUUGUUGAAGUUAUCGGCAACUGGCAGAAGCCCUAUGGAUGUCUCUUUGUUGCAUAAGAUGCAAGUGCCAAAUAAUUGCUUUACUUUAUCGCUAUACGAUAGCAAUAGUUGCAAGAGCAAUAGUUGGUGAGACAACCAUGUGAUGACACAUUGAUAUAGAUCAAGAUGAUGAAGAUCAUGGUGUCGUGCCGGUGACGAUAGAGAUCAUGACAGUACUUUGGAGAUGGAGAUCAAAGGCGCAAGAUGAUCAUGGCCAUAUCAUGUCACAUAUUUUGAUUGCAUAUGAUGUUUAUCUAUUAUACAUCUUAUUCUUGCUUUGAUUGACGGUAGCAUUUUAAGAUGAUCUCUCACUAAUUAUCAAGAAGUGUUCUCCCUGAGUAUGCACCGUUGCCAAAGUUCGUCGUGCCCAGACACCACGUGAUGAUCGGGUGUGAUAAGCUCUACGUCCAUCUACAACGGGUGCAAGCCAGUUUUGCACACGCGGAAUACUCAGGUUAAACUUGACGAGCCUAGCAUAUGCAGAUAUGGCCUUGGAGCACGGAGACCGAAAGGUCGAGCAUGAAUCAUAUAGUAGAUAUGAUCAACAUAGUGAUGUUCACCAUUGAAAACUACUCCAUCUCACGUGAUGAUCGGUUAUGGUUUAGUUGAUUUGGAUCACGUGAUCACUUAGAUGACUAGAGAGAUGUCUGUCUAAGUGGGAGUUCUUAAGUAAUAUGAUUAAUUGAACUUAAAUUUAUCAUGAACUUAGUCCUGGUAGUAUUUUGCAAAUUAUGUUGUAAGAUCAAUAGCUUGCGUUGUUGCUUUCAUAUGUUUAUUUUGAUAUGUUCCUGGAGAAAACUAUGUUGAAAAAUGUUAGUAGCAAUGAUGCGGAUUGGAUCCGUGAUCUGAGCUUUAUCCUCAUUGUUGCGCAGAAGAAAUAUGCCAUUGAUGCACUGCUAGGUGACAAACCUAUUGCAGGAGCAGAUGCAGACGUUAUGAACGUUUGGCUAGCUCAAUAUGAUGACUACUUGAUAGUUUUGUGCACCAUGCUUUAUGGCUUAGAAUCGGGACUUCAAAGAUGUUUUGAACAUCAUGGACCAUAUGAGAUGUUCCAGGAAUUGAAGUUAAUAUUUCAAGCAAAUACCCGAGUUGAGAGAUAUGAAGUCUCCAACAAGUUCUAUAGCUAAAAGAUGGAGGAGAAUCGCUCAACUAGUGAGCAUGUUCUCAGAUUGUCUGGGUACUACAAUCGCUUGAAUCAAGUGGGAGUUAAUCUUCCAGAUAAGAUAGUGAUUGACAGAAUUCUCUAGUCACCAUCACCAAGUUAGUAGAACUUCGUGAUGAACUAUAGUAUACAAGGGAUGAUGAAAAUGAUUCCCGAGUUUUUCAUGAUGAUGAAAUCGAUGAAGGUAGAAAUCAAGAAAGAACAUCAAGUGUUGAUGGUUAACAAGACCACUAGUUUCAAGAAAAGGGCAAAGGGAUAGAAGGGAACUUCAAGAAGAACGGCAAGCAAGUUGCUGCUCAAGUGAAGAAGCCCAAGUCUGGACCUAAGCCUAAGACUAAGUGCUUCUACUGCAAAGGGACUGGUCACUGGAAGCAGAACUACCCCAAGUAUUUGGCGGAUAAGAAGGAUGGCAAAGUGAACAAAGGUAUAUUUGAUAUACAUGUUAUUGAUGUGUACUUUACUAGUGUUUAUAGCAACCCCUCGGUAUUUGGUACUGGUUCAGUUGCUAAGAGUAGUAACUCGAAACGGGAGUUGCAGAAUAAACAGAAACUAGUUAAGGGUGAAGUGACGAUGUGUGUUGAAAGUAGUUUCAAGAUUGAUAUGAUCAUCAUCGCACACUCCCUAUACUUUCGGGAUUAGUGUUGAACCUAAAUAAAUGUUAUUUGGUGUUUGCGUUGAGCAUGAAUAUGAUUUGAUCAUGUUUAUUGCAAUACGGUUAUUCAUUUAAGUAAGAGAAUAAACUGUUGUUCUGUUUACAUGAAUAAAACCUUAUAUGGUUACACACCCAAUGAAAAUGGUUCAUUGGAUCUCGAUUGUAGUGAUACACAUAUUCAUAAUAUUGAAACCAAAAGAUGCAAAGUUAAUAAUGAUAGUGCAACUUAUUUGUGGCACUGCCGUUUAGGUCAUAUUGGUGUAAAGCGCAUGAAGAAACUCCAUGCUGAUGGGAUUUUGGAAUCACUUGAUUAUGAAUCACUUGAUGCUUGCGAACCAUGCCUCAUGGGCAAGAUGACUAAGACUCCGUUCUCUGAAACAGUGGAGCGAGCAACUAACUUAUUGGAAAUAAUACAUACUGAUGUAUGCGAUCUGAUGAGUGUUAAGGCUCGUGGCGGGUAUCGUUAUUUUCUGACCUUCACAGAUGAUUUGAGCAGAUAUGGGUAUAUCUACUUGAUGAAAACUAAGUCUGAAACAUUUGAAAAGUUCAAAGAAUUUCAGAGUGAAGUGGAACAUCAUCGUGACAAGAAAAUAAGGUUUCUACGAUCUGAUCGCGGAGACAAAUAUUUGAGUUACGAGUUUGGUCUUUAAUUAAAACAAUGUGGAAUAGUUUCACAAAUUCAUGCCACCUGGAACACCACAUCAUAAUGGUGUGUCCGAACGUCAUAACCGUACUUUAUUGGAUAUAGUACAAUCUAUGAUGUUUCUUACCGAUUUACCAAUAUUGUUUUGGGGUUAUGCAUUAGAGACAGCUGCAUUCACGUUAAAAGGGCACCAUCUAAAUCCGUUAAGACGACACUAUAUGAACUAUGGUUUGGCAAGAAACCAAAGUUGUCGUUUCUUAAAGAUUUGGGGCUACGAUGAUUAUGUGAAAAAGUUUUUCAUCCUGAUAAGCUCAAACCCAAAUCGGAGAAGUGCGUCUUCAUAGAAUACCCAAAGGAAACUGUUGGGUACACCUUCUAUCACAGAUCUGAAGGCAAAACAUUUGUUGCUAAGAAUUGUUCCUUUCUAGAGAAGGAGUUUCUCUCGAAAGAAGUGAGUGGGAGGAAAUUAGAACUUGAUAAGGUAAUUGUACCUUCUCCUGAAUUGGAAAAUCGUUUAUCACUAAAAUCAGUUCCAGUGAUUCCUACACCAAUUAGUGAGGAAGCUAAUGAUGAUGAUCAUGAAACUUCAGAUCAAGUUACUACAGAACCUCAUAGGUCUUCCAAAGUACAGUCCGCACCAGAGUGGUACGGUAAUCCUGUUCUGGAAGUCAUGUUACUAGACCAUGAUGAACCUAUGAACUAUGAGGAAGCGAUGAUGAGCCCAGAUUCCGCAAAAUGGUUUGAGGCCAUGAAAUCUGAGAUAUGAUCCAUGUAUGAGAACAAAGUAUGGACUUUGAUGGAUUUUCCUGAUGAUCGGCAAACCAUAGAAAAUAAAUGGAUCUUCAAGAGGAAGACGGAUGUUGAUAGUAGUGUUACUAUCUACAAAUCUAGACUUGUGGAAAAAGGUUUUUUUGACAAAGUUCAAGGUGUUAACUACGAUGAAAUUUUCUCACUCGUACCGAUGCUUAAAGUCUGUCCAAAUCAUGUUAGCAAUUGCCGCAUUUUUAUGAAAUCUGGCAAAUGGAUAAACAAAACUGCAUUUCUUAAUGGAUUUAUUAAAGAAGAGUUGUAUAUGAUGCAACCAGAAGGUUUUGUCAAUCCUAAAGGUGCUAACAAAAUGUGCAAGCUCCAGCGAUCCAUCUAUGGACUGGUGCAAGCAUCUCGGAGUUGGAAUAUACGCUUUGAUAAGUUGAUCAAAGCAUAUAGUUUAUACAGACUUGCAGUGAAGCCUGUAUUUACUAGAAAGUGAAGCACUACAGCAUUUCUGAUAAGUAUAUGUGAAUGACAUAUUGUAGAUCGGAAAUAAUGUAGAAUUAUUCUGCAAAGCAUAAAGGAGUGUUUAAACGGAGUUUUUCAAAGAAAGACCUCGGUGAAGCUGCUUACACAUUGAGCAUUAAGAUCUAUAGAGAUAGAUCAAGACGCUUGAUAAGUUUUUUCAAUGAGUACAUACCUUGACAAGAUUUUGAAGUAGUUCAAAAUGGAACAGUCAAAGAAAGAGUUCUUGCCUGUGUUACAAGGUGUGAAAUUGAGUAAGACUCAAAACCCGACCACGGCAGAAGAUAGAAAGAGAAUGAAAGUUAUUCCCUAUGCCUUGGCCAUAGGUUCUAUAAAGUAUGCCAUGCUAUGUACCAGAUCUAUUGUAUACCCUGCACUGAGUUUGGCAAGGGAGUACAAUAGUGAUCUAGGAGUAGAUCACUGGACAACGGUCAAAAUUAUCCUUAGUGGAAUAAGGAUAUGUUUCUCAAUUAUGGAAGUGACAAAAGGUUCGUCGUAAAGGGUUACGUCGAUGCAAGUUUUGACACCGAUCUGGAUGACUCUAAGUCUCGAUCUAGAUACAUAUUGAAAGUGGGAGCAAUUAGCUAGAAUAGCUCCGUGCAGAGCAUUGUAGACAUAAAACAUUGCAAAAUACAUAACGGAUCUGAAUGUGAAAGACCCGUUGACUAAGAUUCUCUCACAAGCAAAACAUGAUCACACCUAAGUACUCUUUGGGUGUUAAUCACAUAGCGAUGUGAACUAGAUUACUGAAUCUAGUAAACCCUUUGGAUGUUGGUCACAUGGCGAUGUGAACUAUCGGUGUUAAUCACAUGAUGAUGUGAACUAUCGAUGUGAAUCACAUGGUGAUGUGAUCUAGAUUAUUGACUCUAGUGCAAGUGGGAGACUGAAGGAAAUAUGCCCUAGAGGCAAUAAUAAAGUUAUUAUUUAUUUCCUUAUAUCAUGAUAAAUGUUUAUUAUUCAUGCUAGAAUUGUAUUAACCGGAAACAUAAUACAUGUGUGAAUAUAUAGACAAACAGAGUGUCACUAGUAUGCCUCUACUUGACUAGCUUGUUAAUCAAAGAUGGUUAUGUUUCCUAACCAUGGACAAAGAGUUGUUAUUUGAUUAAUGGGAUCACAUCAUUAGUUGAAUGAUCUGAUUGACAUGACCCAUUCCGUUAGCUUAGCACCCGAUCGUUUAGUAUGUUGCUAUUGCUUUCUUCAUGACUUAUACAUGUUCCUAUGACUAUGAGAUUAUGCAACUCCCGUUUACCGGAGGAACACUUUGUGUGCUACCAAACGUCACAACGUAACUGGGUGAUUAUAAAGGUGCUCUACAGGUGUCUCCAAAGGUACUUGUUGGGUUGGCGUAUUUCGAGAUGAGGAUUUGUCACUCCGAAUGUCGGAGAGGUAUCUCUGGGCCCUCUCGGUAAUGCACAUCACUUAAGCCUUGCAAGCAAGGCAACUAAUGAGUUAGUUGUGAGAUGAUGUAUUACGGAACGAGUAAAGAGACUUUCCGGUAAAAAGAUUGAACUAGGUAUUGGAUACCGACGAUCGAAUCUCGGGUAAGUAACAUACCGAUGACAAAGGGAACAACGUAUGUUGUUAUGCGGUCUGACCGAUAAAGAUCUUCGUAGAAUAUGUAGGAACCAAUAUGGGCAUCCAGGUCCCGCUAUUGGUUAUUGACCGGAGACGUGUCUCGGUCAUGUCUACAUUGUUCUCGAACCGUAGGGUCCGCACGCUUAAGGUUUCGAUGACAGUUAUAUUAUGAGUUUAUGAGUUUUGAUGUACCGAAGGAGUUCGGAGUCCCGGAUGAGAUCAAGGACAUGACGAGGAGUCUCGAAAUGGUCGAGACGUAAAGAUCGAUAUAUUGGACGACUAUAUUCGGAGUUCGGAAAGGUUCCGAGUGAUUCGGGUAUUUUUCGGAGUACCGGAGAGUUACGGGAAUUCACCGGGGAGAAGUAUUGGGCCUUAUUGGGCCCUGCGGGAAAGAGAGAGGGGCUGCCUAGGGCAGGCCGGGCGCCCCCCCAUGGCCUAGUCCGAAUUGGACUAGGGGGAGGGGCCGCACCCCCUCCUUCCUUCCCUUCUCCCUUCCCCUUCCUUGUCUCCUACUCCUAAUACAUGGAAGGACUCCUAGUUGUACUAGGAAAGGGGGAAUCCGGUGGGAGUAGGACUCCCCUAGGGCGCGCCAUACAAGAGGGCCGACCCUCCCCUCCUCCACUCCUUUAUAUACGGGGGUAGGGGGCACCCCAUGGACACACAAGUUGAUCAUUGAGAUCGUUCCUUAGCCGUGUGCGGUGCCCCCCUCCACGAUAUUACACCUCGGUCAUAUUGUAGCGGUGCUUAGGCGAAGCCCUGCGACAGGAGAACAUCAAGAUCGUCACCACGCCGUCGUGCUGACGGAACUCCUCCCCGCGCCUCUGCUGGAUCGGAGAUCGGGGUGCGUCAUCGAGCUGUACGUGUGUCAAGAACUCGGAGGUGCCGGAGUAACGGUGCUUGGAUCGGUUGGACCGGGAGGACGUACGACUACUUCCUCUACGUUGCGUCAACGCUUCCGCUUCGGUCUACGAGGGUACGCAGACAACACUCUCCCCUCUCGUUGCUAUGCAUCACCAUGAUCUUUCGUGUGCGUAGGAAAUUUUUUGAAAUUACUACGUUCCCCAACAGCCGCCCCCCCUCCUAGUCCAAUUCAGACCAGAGGGAGAGGGGGCACGCGGCCCACCUAGGCCGCCCCUCUAUCUUUCCCCUAAGGCCCACUAGGCCCAUUACUUCUCCCAGGGGGUUCCGGUAACCCUCCGGCACUCCGGUUUUCUUCGAAAACACCCGGAACACUUCCGGUGUCCGAAUAUAGCCAUCCAAUAUAUCAAUCUUUAUCUCUCGACCAUUCUGAGACUCCUCGUUAUGUCUGUGAUCACAUCCGGGACUCCGAACAAACUUGGUACAUCAAAACUUAAACUCAUAAUAAAACUAUCAUCGUAAUGUUAAGCGUGCGGACCCUACUGGUUCGAGAACUAUGUAGACAUGACCUAGAACUAUUCUCGUUCAAUAACCAAUAGCGGAACCUGGAUGCCCAUAUUGGUUCCUACAUAUUCUACGAAGAUCUUUAUCGGUCAAACCGCAUAACAACAUACGUUGUUCCCUUUGUCAUCGGUAUGUUACUUGCCCGAGAUUCGAUCGUAGGUAUCCAAUACCUAGUUCAAUCUCGUUACCGGCAAGUCUCUUUACUCGUUAUGUAAUGCAUCAUUCCGUAACUAACUCAUUAGUCACAUUGCUUGCAAGGCUUAUAGUGAUGUGCAUUACCGAGAGGGUCCAGAGAUACCUCUCCGACAAUCAGAGUGACAAAACCUAAUCUCGAAAAACGCCAACCCAACAUCUACCUUUGGAGACACCUGUAGUACUCCUUUGUAAUCACCCAGUUACGUUGUGACGUUUGGUAGCACCCAAAGUGUUCCUCCGGUAAAUGGGAGUUGCAUAAUCUCAUAGUUUCCUGAACAUGUAUAAGUCAUGAAGAAAGCAAUAGCAAUAUACUAAACGAUCAAAUGCUAGGCUAACAGAAUGGGUCAUGUCAAUCACAUCGUUCUCCUAAUGAUGUGAUCCCAUUAAUCAAAUGACAACACAUGUCUAUGGUUAGGAAACACAACCAUCUUUGAUUAAUGAGCUAGUCAAGUAGAGGCAUACUAGUGACUAUAUGUUUGUCUAUGUAUUCACACAUGUAUCAUGUUUCCGGUUAAUACAAUUCUAGCAUGAAUAAUAAACAUUUAUCAUGAUAUGAGGAAAUAAAUAAUAACUUUAUUAUUGCCUCUAGGGCAUAUUUCCUUCAGUCUCCCACUUGCACUAGAGUCAAUAAUCUAGAUUACAUAGUAAUGAUUCUAACACCCAUGGAGUGUUGGUGCUGAUCAUGUUUUGCUCGUGAGAGAGGCUUAGUCAAUGGGUCUGCAACAUUCAGAUCCGUAUGUAUCUUGCAGAUUUCUAUGUCUCCUACUUGGACUUGGUCCCGGAUGGAAUUGAAGCGUCUUUUGAUGUGCUUGGUCCUCGUGUGAAAUCUAGAUUCCUUUGCCAAGGCAAUUACACCAGUAUUGUCAAAGAAGAUCUUCAUUGGUCCCGAUGCACUAGGUAUGACACCUAGAUCGGAAAUGAACUCCUUCAUCCAGACUCCUUCAUUUGCUGCUUCCGAAGCAGCUAUAUACUCCGCUUCACAUGUAGAUCCCGCCCCGACGCUUUGUUUAGAACUGCACCAACUUAGAGCUCCACCGUUUAAUAAAAAUACGUAUCUGGUUUGCGAUUUAGAAUCGUCCGGAUCAGUGUCAAAGCUUGCAUCAACGUAACCAUUUACGACUAGCUCUUUGUCACCUCCAUAUACGAGAAACAUAUCCUUAGUCCUUUUCAGGUAUUUCAGGAUGUUCUUGACCGCUGUCCAGUGAUCCACUCCUGGAUUACUUUGGUACCUUCCUGCCAAGCUAUUGCUAAGCAUACGUCAGGUCUGGUACACAGCAUUGCAUACAUGAUAGAGCCUAUGGCUGAAGCAUAGGCAACAUCUUUCAUUUUCUCUCUAUCUUCUGCUGUGGUCGGACAUUGAGUUUGACUCAACUUCACACCUUGAAGCACGGGCAAGAACCCUUUCUUUGCCUGAUCCAUUUUGAACUUUUUCAAAAUUUUAUCAAGGUAUGUGCUUUGUGAAAGUCCUAUUAAGCGUCUUGAUCUAUCUCUAUAAAUCUUGAUGCCUAAUAUGUAAGCAGCUUCACCAAGGUCUUUCAUUGAAAAACUUUUAUUCAAGUAUCCCUUUAUGCUAUCCAGAAAUUCUAUAUCAUUUCCAAUCAAUAAUAUGUCAUCUACAUAUAAUAUCAGAAAUGCUACAGAGCUCCCACUCACUUUCUUGUAAAUACAGGCUUCUCCAAAAGUCUGUAUAAAACCAUAUGCUUUGAUCACACUAUCAAAACGUUUAUUCCAACUCCGAGAUGCUUGCACCAGUCCAUAAAUGGAUCGCUGGAGCUUGCACACUUUGUUAGCACCUUUUGGAUCAACAAAACCUUCUGGUUGCAUCAUAUACAACUCUUCUUCCAGAAAUCCAUUCAGAAAUGCAGUUUUGACAUCCAUUUGCUAGAUCUCAUAAUCAUGAAAUGCAACAAUAGCUAACAUGGUUCGGACAGACUUAAGCAUCGCUACGGAUGAGAAAUUCUCAUCAUAGUCAACCCCUUGAACUUGUCAAAAAGCUUUCGCAACAAGUCGAGCUUUAUAGACAGUUACAUUACCAUCAGCGUCAGUCUUCUUCUUAAAGAUCCAUUUAUUCUCAAUGGCUUGCCGAUCAUCGGGCAAGUCAACCAAAGUCCAUACUUUGUUCUCAUACAUGGAUCCCAUCUCAAAUUUCAUGGCCUCUAGCCAUUUUGCGGAAUCUGGGCUUAUCAUCGCUUCCUCAUAGUUCGUAGGUUCAUCAUGGUCAAGUAACAUGUCUUCUAGAAUAGGAUUACCGUACCACUCAGGUGCGGAUCUUACUCUAGUAGACCUACGAGGCUCAGUAGAAACUUGAUCUGAAGUUUCAUGAUCAAUAUCAUUAGCUUCCUCACUAAUUGGUGUAGUUGUCACAGGAACCGGUUCUUGUGAUGAACUACUUUCCAACAAGGGAGCAGAUACAGUUAUCUCAUCAAGAUCUACUUUCCUCCCACUCACUUCCUUCAAGAGAAACUCCUUCUCUAGAAAGGAUCCGAUUUUAGCAACGAAAAUCUUGCCCUCAGAUCUGUGAUAGAAGGUGUACCCAAUGGUCUCUUUUGGGUAACCUAUGAAGACACAUUUCUCAGAUUUGGGUUCGAGCUUAUCUGGUUGAAGUUUCUUCACAUAAGCAUCGCAGCCCCAAACUUUAAGAAACGACAACUUUGGUUUCUUGCCAAACCACAGUUCAUAAGGCGUCGUCUCAACGGAUUUUGAUGGUGCCCUAUUUAACGUGAAUGCGGCCGUCUCUAAAGCAUAACCCCAAAGCGAUAGCGGUAAAUCAGUAAGAGACAUCAUAGAUCGCACCAUAUCUAGUAAAGUACGACUACGACGUUCGGACACAACAUUUCGUUGUGGUGUUCCGGGUGGCGUGAGUUGCGAAACUAUUCCGCAUUGUUUCAAGUGUAGACCAAACUCGUAACUCAAAUAUUCUCCUCCACGAUCAGAUCGUAGAAACUUUAUUUUCUUGUUACGAUGAUUUUCCACUUCACUCUGAAAUUCUUUGAACUUUUCAAAUGUUUCAGACUUGUGUUUCAUCAAGUAGAUAUACCCAUAUCUGCUCAAGUCAUCUGUGAAGGUGAGAAAAUAACGAUACCCGCCGCGAGCCUCAACAUUCAUUGGACCACAAACAUCAGUAUGUAUGAUUUCCAACAAAUCAGUUGCUCGCUCCAUAGUUCUGGAGAACGGCGUUUUAGUCAUCUUGCCCAUAAGGCACGGUUCGCAAGUACCAAGUGAUUCAUAAUCAAGUGAUUCCAAAAGCCCAUUAGUAUGGAGUUUCUUCAUGCGUUUUACACCGAUAUGACCUAAACGGCAGUGCCACAAAUAAGUUGCACUAUCAUUAUCAACUCUGCAUCUUUUGGUUUCAACACUAUGAAUAUGUGUAUCACUACUAUCGAGAUUUAAUAAAAAUAGACCACUGUUCAAGGGUGCAUGACCAUAAAAGAUAUUACUCAUAUAAAUAGAACAACCAUUAUUCUUUGAUUUAAAUGAAUAACCGUCUCGCAUCAAAAAAGAUCCAGAUAUAAUGUUCAUGCUUAACGCUGGCACCAAAUAACAAUUAUUUAGGUCUAAAAAUAAUCCUGAUGGUAGAUGUAGAGGUAGCAUGCCGGCCGCGAUCACAUCGACUUUGGAACCAUUUCCCACGCGCAUCGUCACCUCGUCCUUAGCCAAUCUUCGCUUAAUCCGUAGUCCCUGUUUCGAGUUGCAAAUAUUAGCAACAGAACCAGUAUCAAAUACCCAGGUGCUACUGCGAGCAUUAGUAAGGUACACAUCAAUAACAUGUAUAUCACAUAUACCUUUCUUCACUUUGCCAUCCUUCUUAUCCGCCAAAAUACUUGGGCAGUUUCGCUUCCAGUGUCCAGUCUGCUUGCAGUAGAAGCACUCAGUUUCAGGCUUAGGUCCAGACUUGGGAUUCUUCUCUUGAGCAGCAACUUGUUUGCUAUUCUUCUUGAAGUUCCCCUUCUUCUUCCCUUUGCCCUUUUUCUUGAAACUGGUGGUCUUGUUAACCAUCAACACUUGAUGCUCCUUCUUGAUUUCUACCUCCGCGGCUUUUAGCAUUGCGAAGAGCUCAGGAGUAGUCUUGUCCAUCCCUUGCAUAUUAUAGUUCAUCACUAAGCUCUUGUAGCUUGGUGGCAGUGAUUGGAGAAUUCUGUCAAUGACACUAUCAUCAGGAAGAUUAACUCCCAGUUGAAUCAAGUGAUUAUUAUACCCAGACAUUUUGAGUAUGUGUUCACUGACAGAACUAUUCUCCUCCAUCUUGCAGCUAUAGAACUUAUUCGAGACAUCAUAUCUCUCAAUCCGGGCAUUUGCUUGAAAUAUUAACUUCAACUCCUGGAACAUCUCAUAUGCUCCAUGACGUUCAAAACGUCGUUGAAGACCCGGUUCUAAGCCGUAAAGCAUGGCACACUGAACUAUCGAGUAGUCAUCAGCUUUGCUCUGCCAGACGUUCUUAACAUCGUCAGUUGCAUCAGCAGCAGGCCGGCACCCAGCGGUGCUUCCAGGACGUAAUUCUUCUGUGCAGCAAUGAGGAUAAUCCUCAGGUUACGGACCCAGUCCGUGUAAUUGCUACCAUCAUCUUUCAACCUUGCUUUCUCAAGGAACGCAUUAAAAUUCAACGGAACAACAGCACGAGCCAUCUAUCUACAACAAACAUAGACAAGCAAAAUACUAUCAGGUACUAAGUUCAUGAUAAAUUUAAGUUCAAUUAAUCAUAUUACUUAAGAACUCCCACUUAGACAGACAUCUCUCUAGUCAUCUAAGUGAUCACGUGAUCCAAAUAUCCUAAACCAUGUCCGAUCAUCAUGUGAGAUGGAGUAGUUUCAAUGGUGAACAUCACUAUGUUGCUCAUAUCUACUAUAUGAUUCACGCUCGACCUUUCGGUCUCCGUGUCCCGAGGCCAUAUCUGUAUAUGCUAGGCUCGUCAAGUUUAACCUGAGUAUUCCGCGUGUGCAACUGUUUUGCACCCGUUGUAUUUGAACGUAGAGCCUAUCACACCCGAUCAUCACGUGGUGUCUCAGCACGAAGAACUUUCGCAACGGUGCAUACUCAGGGAGAACACUUCUUGAUAAUUAGUGAGAGAUCAUCUUAAAAUGCUACCGUUAAUCAAAGCAAGAUAAGAUGCAUAAAUGAUAAACAUCACAUGCAAUCAAUAUAAGUGAUAUGAUAUGGCCAUCAUCAUCUUGUGCUUGUGAUCUCCAUCUUCAAAGCACCGUCGUGAUCACCAUCGUCACCGGCGCGACACCUUGAUCUCCAUGGUAGCAUCGUUGUCGUUACGCCAUCUAUUGCUUCUACGACUAUCGCUACCGCUUAGUGAUAAAGUAAAGCAAUUACAGGGCGUUUGCAUUUCAUACAAUAAAGCGACUGUAGGGGAACGUAGUAAUUUCAAAAAAAUUUCCUACGCACACGCAAGAUCAUGGUGAUGCAUAGCAACGAGAGGGGAGAGUAUUGUCUACGUACCCUCGUAGACCGAAGCGGAAGCGUUGACGCAACGUAGAGGAAGUAGUCGUACGUCCUCCCGGUCCAACCGAUCCAAGCACCGUUACUCCGGUACCUCCGAGUUCUUGACACGCGUACAGCUCGAUGACGCACCCUCGAUCUCCAAUCCAGUAGAGGCUCCGAGGGGGAGUUUCGUCAGCACGACGGCGUGGUGACGAUCUUGAUGUUCUCCUGUCGCAGGGCUUCGCCUAAGCACCGCUACAAUAUGACCGAGGUGUAAUAUCGUGGAGGGGGGCACCGCACACGGCUAAGGAACGAUCUCAAUGAUCAACUUGUGUGUCCAUGGGGUGCCCCCUGCCCCCGUAUAUAAAGGAGGGAGGGAGGAGGAGGCUGGCCUAUUCCCCCUUUCCUAGUCCAACUAGGGAUCCUUCCAUGUAUUAGGAGUAGGAGACUAGGAAGGGGAAGAGAGAAGGGAAGGAAGGAGGGGGUGCGGCCCCUCCCCCUAGCCCAAUUCGGACUAGGGCAAGGGGGGGCGCGCGGGCUGCCCUAGGCAGCCCCUCUCCCUUUCCCGCAGGGCCCAAUAAGGCCCAAUACUUCUCCCCGGCGAAUUCCCGUAACUCUCCGGUACUCCGAUAAAUACCCGAAUCACUCGGAACCUUUCCGAACUCCGAAUAUAGUCGUCCAAUAUAUCGAUCUUUACGUCUCGACCAUUUCGAGACUCCUCGUCAUGUCCCCGAUCUCAUCUGGGACUCCGAACUCCUUCGGUACAUCAAAACUCAUAAACUCAUAAUAUAACUGUCAUCGAAACCUUAAGCGUGCGGACCCUACGGUUCGAGAACAAUGUAGACAUGACCGAGACACGUCUCCGGUCAAUAACCAAUAGCGGGACCUAGAUGCCCAUAUUGGUUCCUACAUAUUCUACGAAGAUCUUUAUCGGUCAGACCGCAUAACAACAUACGUUGUUCCCUUUGUCAUCGGUAUGUUACUUGCCCGAGAUUCGAUCGUCGGUAUCCAAUACCUAGUUCAAUCUCGUUACCGGCAAGUCUCUUUACUCGUUCCGUAAUACAUCAUCUCGCAACUAACUCAUUAGUUGUAAUGCUUGCAAGGCUUAAGUGAUGUGCAUUACCGAGAGGGCCCAGAGAUACCUCUCCGACAUUCGGAGUGACAAAUCCUAAUCUCGAAAUACGCCAACCCAACAAGUACCUUUGGAGACACCUAUAGAGCACCUUUAUGAUCACCCAGUUACGUUGUAACGUUUGGUAGCACACAAAGUGUUCCUCCGGUAAACGGGAGUUGCAUAAUCUCAUAGUCAUAGGAACAUGUAUAAGUCAUGAAGGAAGCAAUAGCAACAUACUAAACGAUCGUGUGCUAAGCUAACGGAAUGGGUCAUGUCAAUCAGAUCAUUCAACUAAUGAUGUGACCUUGUUAAUCAAAUAACAACUCCUUGUUCAUGAUUAGGAAACAUAACCAUCUUUGAUUAACAAGCUAGUCAAGUAGAGGCAUACUAGUGACACUCUGUUUGUCUAUAUAUUCACACAUGUAUUAUGUUUCCGGUUAAUACAAUUCUAGCAUGAGUAAUAAACAUUUAUCAUGAUAUGAGGAAAUAAAUAAUAACUUUAUUAUUGCCUCUAGGGCAUAUUUCCUUCAGUCUCCCACUUGCACUAGAGUCAAUAAUCUAGAUCACAUCACCAUGUGAUUAACAUCGAUAGUUCACAUCAUCAUGUGAUUAACACCCAUAGUUCACAUCGCCAUGUGACCAACACCCAAAGGGUUUACUAGAUUCAGUAAUCUAGUUCACAUCGCUAUGUGAUUAACACCCAAGAGUAUAAGGUGUGAUCAUGUUUUGCUUGUGAGAGAGUCUUAGUCAACGGGUCUUUCACAUUCAGAUACGUUAUGUAUUUUGCAAUCUUUCUAUGUCUACAAUGCUCUGCACGAAGCUACUCUAGCUAAUUGCUCCCACUUUCAAUAUGUAUCUAGAUCGAGACUUAGAGUCAUCCAGAUCAGUGUCAAAACUUGCAUCGACGUAACCCUUUACGACGAACCUUUUGUCACUUCCAUAAUCGAGAAACAUGUCCUUAUUCCACUAAGGAUAAUUUUGACCGCUGUCCAGUGAUCUACUCCUAGAUCACUAUUGUACUCCCUUGCCAAACUCAGUGCAGGGUAUACAAUAGAUCUGGUACACAGCAUGGCAUACUUUAUAGAACCUAUGGCCAAGGCAUAGGGAAUGACUUUCAUUCUCUUUCUAUCUUCUGCCGUGGUCGGGUUUUGAGUCUUACUCAAUUUCACACCUUGUAACACAGGCAAGAACUCUUUCUUUGACUGUUCCAUUUUGAACUACUUCAAAAUCUUGUCAAGGUAUGUACUCAUUGAAAAAACUUAUCAAGCAUCUUGAUCUAUCUCUAUAGAUCUUGAUGCUCAAUAUGUAAGUAGCUUCACCGAGGUCUUUCUUUGAAAAACUUCUUUCAAACACUCCUUUAUGCUUUGCAGAAUAAUUCUACAUUAUUUCUGAUCUACAAUAUGUCAUUCACAUAUACUUAUCAGAAAUGUUGUAGUGCUCCCACUCACUUUCUAGUAAAUACAGGCUUCACUACAAGUCUGUAUAAACUAUAUGCUUUGAUCAACUUAUCAAAGCGUAUAUUCCAACUCCGAGAUGCUUGCACCAGUCCAUAGAUGCACAUUUUGUUAACACCUUUAGGAUCGACAAAACCUGUUGGUUGCAUCACAUACAACUCUUCUUUAAUAACUCCAUUAUGGAAUGCAGUUUUGUUUAUCCAUUUGCCAGAUUUCAUAAAAUGCGGCAAUUGAUAACAUGAUUCGGACAGACUUUUAAGCAUCGAUACGAGUGAGAAAAAUCUCAUUGUAUUCAACAUCUUGAACUUUGUCAAAAACCUUUUUCGACAAGUCUAGCUUUGUAGAUAGUAACACUACUAUCAGCGUCCGUCUUCCUCUUGAAGAUCCAUUUAUUUUCUAUGGCUUGCCGAUCAUCGGGCAACUCCACCAAAGUCCACACUUUGUUCUCAUACAUGGAUCUCAUCUCAGAUUUCAUGGCCUCAAGCCAUUUCGCGGAAUCUGGGCUCAUCAUCGCUUCCUCAUAGUUCGUAGGUUCAUCAUGAUCUAGUUACAUGACUUCCAGAAGAGGAUUACCGUACCACUCUGGUGCGGAUCUCACUCUGGUUUACCUACAAGAUUCGGUAGUAACUUGAUCUGAAGUUACAUGAUCAUCAUCAUUAGCUUCCUCACUAAUUGGUGCAGUAGUCACAGGAACAGAUUUCUGUGAUGAACUACUUUCCAAUAAGGGAGAAGGUACAAUUACCUCAUCAAGUUCUACUUUCCUCCCACUCACCUCUUUCGAGAGAAACUCCUUCUCUAGAAAGGAUCCAUUUAUUAGCAACGAAUGUUUUGCCUUCGGAUCUGUGAUAGAAGGUGUACCCAACAAUUUCCUUUGGGUAUUCUAUGAAGACGCACUUCUCCGAUUUGGGUUUGAGCUUAUCAGGAUGAAACUUUUUCACAUAAGCAUCGCAGCCCCAAACUUUAAGAAACGACAACUUUGGUUUCUUGCUAAACCACAGUUCAUAUAGUGUCGUCUCAACGGAUUUAGAUGGUGCCCCAUUUAACGUGAAUGCAGUUGUCUCUAAUGCAUGAUCCCAAAAACGAUAUUGGUAAAUCGGUAAGAAAUAUCAUAGAUUGUACUAUAUCCAAUAAAGUACGGUUAUGACGUUCGGACACACCAUUAUGAUGUGGUGUUCCAGGUGGCAUGAAUUUGUGAAACUAUUCCACAUUGUUUUAAUUGAAGACCAAACUCGUAACUCAAAUAUUUGUCUCCGCGAUCAGAUCGUAGAAACCUUAUUUUCUUGUCAUGAUGAUUUUUCCACUUCACUCUGAAAUUCUUUGAACCUUUCAACUAUUUCAGACUUAUGUUUCAUCAAGUAGAUAUACCCAUAUCUGCUCAAAUCAUCUGUGAAGGUCAGAAAAUAACGAUACCCGCCACGAGCCUUAACACUCAUUGGAUCGCAUACAUCAGUAUGUAUUAUUUCGAAUAAGUCAGUUGCUCGCUCCACUGUUCCGGAGAACGGAGUCUUAGUCAUCUUGCCCAUGAGGCAUGGUUCGCAAGCAUCAAGUGAUUCAUAAUCAAGUGAUUCCAAAAUCCCAUCAGUAUGGAGUUUCUUCAUGCGCUUUACACCAAUAUGACCUAAACGGCAGUGCCACAAAUAAGUUGCACUAUCAUUAUUAACUUUGCAUCUUUUGGUUUCAAUAUUAUGAAUAUGUGUAUCACUACGAUCGAGAUCCAAUGAACCAUUUUCAUUGGGUGUGUAACCAUAUAAGGUUUUAUUCAUGUAAAUAGAACAACAGUUUAUUCUCUUACUUAAAUGAAUAACCGUAUUGCAAUAAACACGAUCAAAUCAUAUUCAUGCUCAACGCAAACACCAAAUAACAUUUAUUUAGGUUCAACACUAAUCCCGAAAGUAUAGGGAGUGUGCGAUGAUGAUCAUAUCAAUCUUGAAACUACUUUCAACACACAUCGUCACUUCACCCUUAACUAGUUUCUGUUUAUUCUGCAACUCCCGUUUCGAGUUACUACUCUUAGCAACUGAACCAGUACCAAAUACCGAGGGGUUGCUAUAAACACUAGUAAAGUACACAUUAAUAACAUGUAUAUCAAAUAUACCUUUGUUUACUUUGCCAUCCUUCUUAUCCGCCAAAUAAUUGGGGUAGUUCUGCUUCCAGUGAUCAGUCCCCUUUGCAGUAGAAGUACUUAGUCUCAGGCUUAGGUCCAGACUUGGGCUUCUUCACUUGAGCAGCAACUUGCUUGCCGUUCUUCUUGAAGUUCCCUUCUAUCCCUUUGCCCUUUUCUUGAAACUAGUGGUCUUGUUAACCAUCAACACUUGAUGUUCUUUCUUGAUUUCUACCUUCAUCGAUUUCAUCAUCAUGAAAAAACCCGGGAAUCAUUUUCAUCAUCCCUUGCAUACUAUAGUUCAUCACGAAGUUCUACUAACUUGGUGAUGGUGACUAGGGAAUUCUGUCAAUCACUAUCUUAUCUGGAAGAUUAACUCCCACUUGAUUCAAGUGAUUGUAGUACCCAGACAAUCUGAGCACAUGCUCACUAGUUGAGCGAUUCUCCUCCAUCUUUUAGCUAUAGAACUUGUUGGAGACUUCAUAUCUCUCAACUCGGGUAUUUGCUAGAAAUAUUAACUUCAACUCCUGGAACAUCUCAUAUGGUCCAUGAUGUUCAAAACAUCUUUGAAGUCCCGAUUCUAAGCCAUAAAGCAUGGUGCACAAAACUAUCAAGUAGUCAUCAUAUUGAGCUAGCCAAACGUUCAUAACGUCUGCAUCUGCUCCUGCAAUAGGUCUGUCACCUAGCGGUGCAUCAAGGACAUAAUUCUUCUGCGCAGCAAUGAGGAUAAACCUCAGAUCACGGAUCCAAUCCGCAUCAUUGCUACUAACAUUUUUCAACACAAUUUACUCUAGGAACAUAUCAAAAAUAAACAUAUGAAAGCAACAACGCAAGCCAUUGAUCUACAACAUAAUUUGCAAAAUACUACCAGGACUAAGUUCAUGAUAAAUUUAAGUUCAAUUAAUCAUAUUACUUAAGAACUCCCACUUAGACAGACAUCUCUCUAGUCAUCUAAGUGAUCACGUGAUCCAAAUCAACUAAACCAUAACCGAUCAUCACGUGAGAUGGAGUAGUUUUCAAUGGUGAACAUCAUUAUGUUGAUCAUAUCUACUAUAUGAUUCACGCUCGACCUUUCGGUCUCCGUGUUCCGAGGCCAUAUCUGCAUAUGCUAGGCUCGUCAAGUAUAACCUGAGUAUUCCGCGUGUGCAAAACUGGCUUGCACCCGUUGUAGAUGGACGUAGAGCUUAUCACACCCGAUCAUCACGUGGUGUCUCGGCACGACGAACUUUGCCAACGGUGCAUACUCAGGGAGAACACUACUUGAUAAUUUUUAGUGAGAGAUCAUCUUAAAAUGCUACCGUCAAUCAAAGCAAGAUAUGAUGCAUAAAGGAUAAACAUCACAUGCAAUCAAUAUAAGUGAUAUGAUAUGGCCAUCAUCUUCUUGUGCUUGUGAUCUCCAUCUCCGAAGCACCAUCAUGAUCACCAUCGUCACCGGCGCGACACCUUGAUCUCCAUCGUAGCAUCGUUGUCGUUUACGCCAUCUAUUGCUUCUACGACUAUCGCUACCGCUUAGUGAUAAAGUAAAGCAAUUACAGGGCGUUUGCAUUUCAUACAAUAAAGCGACAACCAUAUGGCUCCUGCCAGUUGCCGAUAACUUCGGUUACAAAACAUGAUCAUCUCAUACAAUAAAAUAUAGCAUCAUGUCUUGGCCAUAUCACAUCACAACAUGCCCUGCAAAAACAAGUUAGACGUCCUCUACUUUGUUGUUGCAAGUUUUACGUGGCUGCUACGGGCUUAAGCAAGAACCAAUCUCACCUACGCAUCAAAACCACAACGAUAGUUUGUCAAGUUGAUGCUGUUUUAACCUUCGCAAGGACCGGGCGUAGCCACACUCGGUUCAACUAAAGUUGGAGAAACUGACACCCGCUAGUCACCUGUGUGCAUAGCACGGCGGUAAAACCAGUCUCGCGUAAGCGUACGCGUAAUGUCGGUCCGGGCCGCUUCAUCCAACAAUACCGCCGAACCAAAGUAUGACAUGCUGGUAAGCAGUAUGACUUAUAUCGACCACAACUCACUUGUGUUCUACUCGUGCAUAUAACAUCAAACCAUAAAAACCUAGGCUCGGAUGCCACUGUAGGGGAACGUAGUAAUUUCAAAAAAAAUUCCUACGCACACGCAAGAUCAUGGUGAUGCAUAGCAACGAGAGGGGAGAGUAUUGUCUACGUACCCUCGUAGACCGAAGCGGAAGCGUUGACGCAACGUAGAGGAAGUAGUCGUACGUCCUCCCGGUCCAACCGAUCCAAGCACCGUUACUCCGGUACCUCCGAGUUCUUGACACGCGUACAGCUCGAUGACGCACCCUCGAUCUCCAAUCCAGUAGAGGCUCCGAGGGGGAGUUUCAUCAGCACGACGGCGUGGUGACGAUCUUGAUGUUCUCCUGUCGCAGGGUUUCGCCUAAGCACCGCUACAAUAUGACCGAGGUGUAAUAUCGUGGAGGGGGGCACCGCACACGGCUAAGGAACGAUCUCAAUGAUCAACUUGUGUGUCCAUGGGGUGCCCCCUGCCCCCGUAUAUAAAGGAGGGAGGGAGGAGGAGGCCGGCCUAGGGAGGAGGCGCGCCAUAGGGGAGUCCUACUCCCACCGGGAGUAGGAUUCCCCCUUUCCUAGUCCAACUAGGGAUCCUUCCAUGUAUUAGGAGUAGGAGACUAGGAAGGGGAAGAGAGAAGGGAAGGAAGGAGGGGGUGCGGCCCCUCCCCCUAGCCCAAUUCGGACUAGGGCAAGGGGGGGCGCGCGGGCUGCCCUAGGCAGCCCCUCUCCCUUUCCCGCAGGGCCCAAUAAGGCCCAAUACUUCUCCCCGGCGAAUUCCCGUAACUCUCCGGUACUCCGAUAAAUACCCGAAUCACUUGGAACCUUUCCGAACUCCGAAUAUAGUCGUCC
This 22404-nucleotide long non-coding RNA is filed under the name Triticum aestivum (bread wheat). RNAcentral's name for it is "long non-coding RNA (TAES_LNC018907)". The record is from RNAcentral. Lineage: Eukaryota; Viridiplantae; Streptophyta; Magnoliopsida; Poales; Poaceae.